RNAcentral lists this long non-coding RNA (4908 nucleotides) under Gallus gallus (chicken). The record is from RNAcentral. Lineage: Eukaryota; Metazoa; Chordata; Aves; Galliformes; Phasianidae.
UGAUGUCAACAUUGUUUGCUGAAAUAUAUAAGAGCUGAGUAAAAUCUUUAAUGUGUCUUGCUUUUUUUGAAGCCAUGAGAACACCGUCUGUCCAUUAGAAAACCAAAGUAAUAAGAUUUUAUGGUUUGGCUACUAAGUCAACAUGGUUAGCUAAACUUUGGCUUAUGGAGUUCUGCUAUUUUUAUGGUACAGUUAAAUAUAAGAGACUUAGCCUGAGGAUGGGCUAAUAAACUAGAAAUAUUUUCCCUCCAGUUCACCCCCAUCAGUCUUAAUAGUUUAUUGCUUUUCUCUGCUCAGUUUUGGUCCAUGUGAAAGUAGUGAAAACCUGUUCAGUCCUUGCACUGUUGUAAGACUGAUUCCUGUGAAGAAACAGGCUGCUAAAAAGAGAACUGGUGAGCUCAAAGAAAGAUACCCACUUCUACCAUGUUCUAGGAAGACCUCUAUGUCAACAGUACAAAUAUAAGCAUGAUGCCAGAUGUUCUGAAAAUUUCCUUGGGUCCCUCUUUCUGAGAGUUCGGGAGUGAAAGGAGCUGAUUUGGUUUAAAGGUUCUCUGAAGAUUAAUAUUAUCCCUCAUUUGCAGAACCAUUAAAAACUUGUAAUCAAGCAAAUGAGAACGUAAAUCUGUACAUUUUGGACAGAUUUUCUACAAUCAUUCCCAAACAUAAUUUUUUAAGUGAUAGGAUCACAUUUCAUCUGAAUAUCAAGAAGUUGAAAUCUACAGCUGAAUGCAUCUCUUGUCAGAUAGUCCAUAUCUGAGAAAGGAGAUGAGAAGUAGCUUCUUGUGGAUUGCAGAUUGCAGAGUACUAACCCCAUAAGCAGAUUGCAGAGUACUUACUGAAAGAUUCAAGAGCUCAGCACUGCCCCUCCGCUCCCUUCAUGAGGAGGUAUAGGCUGCCAUGAGGCCUCCCCUGAGCUGGACAAAGAAAGCUUCAACAAUGAAGAAUUCAUUGAUUUCCCAAAGGGCAGGAGGUUGUAUAUUACACCAAACCAAUCCUGCUGUACCCCUCCACUGAAAUACAGAGAUGAAGAGCUAAAAGUGACUAAAAUAAAAAAAGAGGUUAUCAAAUGACAGAGUGAGACCCUAUAAUGAGGGUCAUGGGUUGCCCCAUUUAAAGACAGAAGGAACACUAUUCCAACGGGUGCUAGAAGAAAUCCAUAGCAAUCCAUUUCUUUUGGAAGAUCAGAGCACUCUUGUACGCUGAAGAAACUAGACAUGUCCUUUUUUCCAUAUCACUAGGAAAGCUCUUGUAACUCUAGCAAACCGCUACUGAGCGCAGAAACACAUUCAAAUGGAAUGUUUCCAUUGCUGUUCCAUAUUUACUGGACAUAAUCAUUUGUUUUAUAUAGAGUACUAUAUUUUGAGCAUAUAGGUAGCAAAUAAUACUGCAAGCUUCUAAAAUCUAGAAAAAACAGAAUGAACACUGCUUAAGUAUUCUCAGAGCAAAGCGUACCUUCUUUCAAAAAUUUCUUUAUCUAAAUUCAUUUAUUCUACAUCAUUUCCCUCUCCAAAGAACACUGGACAGAAACUUUCAGAACUUUUUUUCAACACAAUAUAGCACAAAAAUACUAGGCUGCUCUGAAGAAUUAAAAGGAUUAUUACUAAAAAAAAAAGUAUACAAUUGGAUAGCUAACCCAACAUUUAUUCAAAAUGAAAGGUUUUAAUCUGUCAGUGAAGUUGAGUUGAACUCAUCUCGAUAACCAGCCAAAACCUACAGGAUUUCAGCAUAAUGCAAGCAUUGAUGCUACCAGACAGCCACCUUGAAGCCUACAGUAUAAACAGACAUUCACUCUGUAUACUGAAAAUGUGCUGGUUGGUAUUGUAAAAUCAUACAGCUGUUUUGAGCAAGCAUCUUAGAAUUCCUCCUGUGUCAAACCAUCACCAGCUGCAGCCAAUCUGCUCUAUAAUGAGAGCAAAUAUAUGUUUAAUUUGUUGUGUAUAGAAGAAAAUAUGGUGCAGUGGGGGAGGAGGAGCAGAAAUGAUAAAAGCAUGCCAUCCAACUGGAAUUAGUGAUCUAACAGCCUUUGUAUCAUUGUAACACGCUAGCCUAGGUUGUUCAAACUCUAAGACUGCCUCCCUGCUGUUCUAGAUACUUAAGUAGCAGAACACAAUCUUUCUUCCCAUCUUUCGAGGAUAUUUGCUAUAUGAUUUUUCUUCCAAUCCUAAAAGCAAGAUAGAAAGACAUUAUUUAACUGAGUGUAAACAAACAGAAGACCUGUUAUUAUCAAGAUAUUUCUAACUGUACUUCACCGAUUUCAAAGUGUGACAAAGUUAAUUUGUUCUAUUCUUCAAAUGUGGAAAUAUCAAAAGUAACGUUACGAGGAAGUUGAAAAAGUUGCACAUGCACGAGUCCUCACUAGUUAAGUCAGAAUUCUCUCUUUAUCUUCACACAUUUUCUUUGAUUAAAAUAACAACCCUAUGUAACUCCACUGAGGCCUGAGUAGAAAGUGCUCCUCGAUGACUAAUAUUUACAAACAUGUCUUCCCUACAGGCAAACUUAUAGUUAAUUGCUACUAAAUAACUAAGAUACCCCAGUGAUCUGAGUUAGGAAUACUAAACGUAAAACUGCAAGCUCAAAAUUAAGAUAGGUGGUUAUGUGCUACUAAUGUUAAACGUUCCUGAGAAGUGGCAUUCCUUGUCUUUUUCCAUUCCCUUUUAAUUCCUGAUGAACGUACAUCAGUGACUCACAACGUGCCACAAAAGUGUUCUACUGAGAGAGCAUAAUAAAAAGAUUGUACCUAAAAAACUAAAUGUAGUUUUUCAAACUUAUCUUGUCUAGACCUUACAAGCAGAACAAAGAAUAUCGCGACUAAAGCUUCACUCAUUUCCAGCAAGUACAGCUAUGUUUUCCUCAAAGCAGAAAAGUGCAAAAGGCAGAAAAGAAGGCAGUCUAAUUUUUUGUAUGUUGAUGUUAUGUCAAGGCAGAACAAUGAAAAAAUACAGUUUAACACCAUAUCCGUAAUUACAAAAAGCUAUUGGGUUUUGAGAUCUUUUGCAUGAGAACUGGCUUCAGUGUGUCAGAGUGUACAGCUGAACCUCACAAAUCCUUCCCAUCCUUCGACCUGUCAGUUUUCAGAACGUCACAGCUCUAAAAUUCUUUGUAAGGUUUUCGUGCAGGGUUUCAAUAGGGAAUACUAAUCCAGUGGUAACAAGAAUCUGGGUCUCCUGAUCACGUGACCGCUGAAGUACAAGGCAGCUUCAACUAGGGAAACUCCACAGUAGCAGCAAGUCCUGGUGAAGAACACCCCCUCGAACCAACAUUUCAUGAGUAGAUUGACAAUGCUAGUAAAGUACUCUCAGGGUUUAUGCAAUUUUUUUUCUAUAGUGAAAUAAAAAUUCAAAGUUCAAAUUUUUAAAAUAAGAGUAUGAUGAAAAUACAGUAAGACAGUGGCAAAGCAUUGGAAUGAAAAAUUAGAAAGAAUACCUCAGAAUUAUUCCUUUAGAUUUAAGUCACUACUAGGCCCUCACGCUUUCUGAAAUUACUUCACCAAACCUCCUGCCUUGCUCUCUGUGGGAAUACAAGAAAGACUAUUCAGAACAGCACCUGUAGAGCAAGAUAAAUGAAAGCAAUGCUGAGAACCAAGGAAGAAGAGAAAAGCAAGUCAAGUAAGUUGCGCGAUGGCCGUAUGGUAAUUACCCUGACUGAAGGAAGAGUGUGUGGCUAAGAAUGGCUCAUGGCUCUGACUGGAUAAGUGCCUGUGUGCACGGUUAAGGAGUGUUUGCGGAAUGUUUUGUUGACAUGUAAAGGUGGGUGGGAAAGUUAAGAGAAAACUUGUGACUGCAUAAGGGAUGCUAGAACCUGUAAUAAACAUUUUGGAUUGUUCACAUCUGAGUCCAUGCCUCACUGCCACAGCCUACGAUUCUGUUAUUCAUUAAUCUUUCUGAGCUCCUCAGUUCUGAGAAAGAAACUAACUUUGCAAUGGAGUCUUAGUAUACAGCUUUAGUAUAUUAUAGGUAAAUUUCAAGUAAGCAGCCAAGUCCAAUGAAAAGUAUUUAAUUAAUGCUAAGAUGAGAUUUCCACUCCUUCUCAUAUAUUCCCAAAGUAAUUGUAAAGCCAACCUAUGUAAACAUACCAUCAGCUUCCAGGUCAACAAACAAUGUGCAGACACAUAUGUGAGCAUGACACUGAGGUGACAUAGAACAGAAGCAAUUCUCAAAUGAAAGUGGAGACUGGGAAACUCAAGUGCUUACAUUUAUAAGCUUACCUUUUAAGUAUAAUUAUUACUGCGUGUUACAAAUUUAAAAUCGGUACUAAUUGUUGAUGGUAACUUGCCUGCUUUGACUUAAAGCUGUAAAAGAUUAGUUUGGCACUUUCUCAUCCUUUUACAUUUCAUUUCUAUCUCCCAAAGCUAUUUUAAACCUUUCAGUAUCCUACGUAGAUGAGCGCUCAGAGAAAAAUCUCUCUUGCGUAUAGAGGGGAACGCAAUCUGCCUAAUUUCAGUUAGUUACAAACUCCAAAAUACAGCUAUGCAAGCAAAGAAGGGAAAUGAAAACAGUUUUCCUAACUAUUUGUUAUGAGCAGACGGAUCAGCUAAAUUCCAGUUAAAUGGCCAGUUUAGUUAGAGUAUUGAACACGAGUGUCUAAGCGCUAUGAUGCACUCAUCAGGAGCAAAACAAAAUAAAUUGAGGAAGUGAUGGUAGCAUAUUUGCAGUGGAAUUCCAAGGUCACAGCAUGAACCAAUAUAUGAGCAUGUGAUUGCCUAGAGCAGGGGCAGCUGGAGCCACCCUUUCUGUCUCAGGGAUGCUUCUGGGAGCAUGUGAGUCUGCGCAGGUCUCCCUUCCCCCCACCCUUUUCUCCUGCAGCGUGACAGUAUGAACAAGAGAAGGCUGCAUUCCUCAGUUCACCCCUUUCUCCAAACUGUUACUGGGAGGGGUGAAUUAAUUUCUCUUUGAUAUCUUUUCCUAUAGC